This 252-nucleotide long non-coding RNA is filed under the name Brassica rapa (field mustard). Its description in RNAcentral is "long non-coding RNA (BRAP_LNC002066)". The record is from RNAcentral. Lineage: Eukaryota; Viridiplantae; Streptophyta; Magnoliopsida; Brassicales; Brassicaceae.
UGACAUAUCGGUCUCAGAACUCAUCACCAGCCACUUCAUCAAGACCAAACACUGACUUUCAACUUUCAUAAAACGCUUUGACAUAGAUUAAAACUCAGUUUUCCUAAAAAGGUGUGUUUGUGUUGAGAUUGAACCUUUGAUUAAAUACUACAAAAGAAGAAUAAGAAGAGUAGCUUAGAAGAAGCUACAAAGGAAUGGAAGAAGAAGAAGAAUGAAGCAAAAUAAGAAGCUUGAAGCGCAAGAAACAAAGAA